RNAcentral lists this ribosomal RNA (301 nucleotides) under uncultured bacterium. Its description in RNAcentral is "partial 16S ribosomal RNA". It matches the Rfam family "Bacterial small subunit ribosomal RNA", at positions 509 to 808 of the family's 1533-position model. The record is from RNAcentral.
CAGCCGCCGCGGUAAUACGUAGGGGGCGAGCGUUGUCCGAAGUUACUGGGCGUAAAGCGCGCGUAGGCGGCUUCUUAAGUCUGAGGUGAAAGGUUCAACGCUUAACGUGAACAGUGCCUUGGAUACUGGGGAGCUUGAGUAUGGGAGAGGGCAGUGGAAUGGCUGGCGUAGCGGUGAAAUGCGUAGAUAUCAGUCGGAACACCCAUGGCGAAGGCAGCUGCCUGGCCUAAUACUGACGCUGAGGUGCGAAAGCGUGGGGAGCGAACGGGAUUAGAUACCCCGGUAGUCCCUGUCUCUUAUA